Long non-coding RNA from Bos taurus (domestic cattle), 1507 nucleotides. The record is from Ensembl. Lineage: Eukaryota; Metazoa; Chordata; Mammalia; Artiodactyla; Bovidae.
UACCAUAUGUUCAGCAAUUCAACUUUUGGAUAUAUACCCAAAAGAUCUGAAAACAGAGACUCAAACUGAUACUUGUACACCAAGGCUUGUUAGCAGCCUUAUUCAUGUAGCCAAAAAGUGGAUGAGUUUGAGCAGACUCUAGGAGACAGUGAAGGACAGGGAAGCCUGGUAUGCUUCAGUCCAUGGGGUCGCAGAGUUGGACAUGACUGAGCGAUUGAACAACAAAAGGUAGAAACAACCCAAAUGUCCACUGAUGGAUGAAUAAGUAAAAUGUGAUAUAGGCAUACAAUGGAAUGUUAUUCAGCCUUGAAAAGGAACGAAAUUCUGAAACAUGCUACAACAUGGAUGAACCUUGAAGACACUGGGCUAAGUCAGACAAAAAGAUAAAUACAGUAUGAUUCCACUUACAUGAGAUACCUGCUGCUGCUACUGCUGCUAAGUCGCUUCAGUCGUGUCCGACUCUGUGUGACCCCAUAGACAGCAGCCCACGAGGCUCCGCUAUCCCUGGGAUUCUCCACGCAAGAGCACUGGAGUGGGUUGCCAUUUCCUUCUCCAGUGCAUGAAGGAGAAAAAUGAAAGUGAAGUCACUCAGUCAUGUUCGACUCUAGGAACCCCAUGGACUGCAGCCUACCAGGCUCCUCUGUCCAUGGGAUUUUCCAGGCAAGAGUACUGGAGUGGGGUGCCAUUGCCUUCUCCAUAUGAGAUACCUAGAUAUGAGAUACCUAGAAUAGUUAAAUUCACAGAGACUGAAAGAAUGGUGGUUUCCAAGGACUGGUGGGUAGAACAAAUGGGGAGUGAUUGUUUAAUAGAUGGAGAGUUUGGGAAGAAGGAAAAGUUUUGGAGAUGGAUGAUGGUGAUGGUUUUACAACAAUGGAAAUGCACAUAAAGCCAUUGAACUGUAUACUUUAAAAAUGGUUAAAAGGAAAGACUUUGUUUUCAUAUAUUUUACCACAAUAAAAGAAAUUAAUGUGUGCUCUGGUGAAAGUGUCUCACUUUUUAGAAGAAUGACCUCUAGACAAGCAGAACCUGGAGUUAUCCAAGUGAAUAACUGGGAGCAAUGAUGGUAAGGGGCUGCUCAUAUUUCCCACCUUGGUUCCUGAACCCAUAUGAUACCUAUUGGGAAUAGAGCACUGGUAAUGAUAUUGACAGGGUAUAUCAUGUGUCCUGGCAGUUGGCAUCUCAUCAUUACAGGGUAUCAUCUCCAAGCUGGUACCUCAGCUGCACCUUCAGAAGACCAUUUCAUCACUCUCAGAGCAGCAUCUUCAGAUGGUGCAGCAGGUGACAGGUCCAGUGGACCCAUGGUCAUGUGCCUGCUGCCGCACUUGCUGUGCUCUAAAAUGGGCCCCUUGGGCUGCCAUCACCAGGAGAAGGACAUGCUGCAGAGAACCAUUGACCUUCCAGCAGGGAUCUUAGGAUGGGACAGUUAGAGCAGAGACAGUGUCAUCCCAGGUGUUCCACAGCCUGAAGCAGAGUGAUCUGCUUACUCAGCUGAUCUCUGUAAGCUAGA